UCAAUGUUCUAUGUAUAUUCAACGAUACAAUAAGAUUGUUAUCAUAAUUUCAGAUCGAUUCUUUUAGAUAUAUAUAUCUUAUACAAUAAAAGAGACUUUUGUCUCUCUAUCAGCAAGGACGGAGAGAAAUUUUAUGCCACGUGGCACUUUAAGUAUUUUCUGAUUUCGAAUGCUUUUGUUAUUUCUAGCGGGCUGGGCCUAUUGUUUUGUCUUUGUUUUAAUAUAGAUUUAUUUUUCGUUUGGGCUUUGUUUAAUUUGUCUUUAUAUUACUGUUAUACUAAUUUUAGCCCGGUUUAACCAUAAUCCUUUUAUCUCUUAGAAACUGUAGGCCUACCGAUUCUCUUUCACCUUCUCUGGCGAUGUAGCGAUGUAGUUAUGACCUUCAAUCACGUUAUCCCACUAAACUCACAACCACCCCCUCUUCAUUGAUUCUUUAAUUACACAUUUUAAAACUUAAUUUUGUGUAUAUCUACACCUUCCGAGAGCCCCUGCAAUUCCCUUACUUUCAUAAAACCUAAAAAUAUAUCGCUCAUGUUCUCUUUUAAUGGAUGAUAGUUGGCAAUUUCUCAGUUUUAUUUCUCUGAUUUGAGUCAGGCGGUUAUAGACAGUCAGUUCAGGCAAGAUUCGUAUAUGUUUCUCGGAAGCUAAUAAAGUAAUGAAAAGAGGAUAGACAAAUCCAGGAAUCAAUUAAUGUGCAACUAUUCAACACCUUAAAAAAAAUGAAGUAUCUAGCUUAAUGUUUUGUAUUUCAUAUGAAGGAGCAACCCUUACUUCCGGUUUGGAAAAAUCCAUGUUUCUAUUAGAUUUACGGAGCGAACCGUGUUGUUGAGGUCGCUGAAACCGAUUCCAGUGGAGAGUUUUGGGUUUUGCAAUUACGAACACCUUAUGGUAUUGGCCAACACCGACACAGAUUUUUUUUCCGGCAUUGCAGGACGCCUUUUCCUCAAUGCAACCUCCGGAACACAUUUCUACUUUUACCAAGAAAGUGUAACCAGCCAGAGCUUUCUGCAAGACUAUAGUAUAUUCAAACUAAAACUUUUGACAAAACUUGCGUACUUAUACCCUGUACAACACAAUCCUGCAAGGUUUUGUGGAUCUGACAUUGGUAGCUCCUCCACUCCUUCCAAGUAUGGCGGUGUACAGAAAAUUGAGUUAGCAACAAUUGUGGAGUUUAUUGUCUGUGUUGUGAAUUCACCACCUCAGGCGGUACGGUAGAAUUCCACUGCACUGGCCAAGUCGAUGACAUUGAGAAAACUGAUGGACCAAUGCUUCAUCAUCAAAGCUUUGCUUACAAGGACGUGGUGACUACCCUGGAAAUGAUAUUCUGGAUGCUGUGACUCUCACUAUUAACCCUCUCAUGUGAUGAGGAGCAGUGGUUCACAUAAUACCACAUGAAGUAACACUGCUCCAAUUUUUGAAGGAAGCAUGGCUGAGUCAGCAGUACUACCUGCUCAACCUGAUGCAUUUUUAGCACCGGAAAAGAUACCAUAGAGCCUGAGAUCUCCAACCAUAGAGAUCCAUGACAAUAUUAAUAUAGGUGAAGAACCAAUUCCACACUGAACGUGCUAAGUUUGAGUCAAUAAUUUUUCUACAUUAUAUAGAUUGUCGUCUUUUUAGUUUGCUUGGUUAUAUACUUAUAUCAUAUAUGAAUACGUUGAUCUCAUUA
This is a long non-coding RNA of Brassica napus (rape), 1666 nucleotides long. RefSeq lists it as uncharacterized. The record is from RefSeq and is a predicted model, not a curated record. The transcript has 4 exons. NCBI's taxonomy places the organism in Eukaryota, Viridiplantae, Streptophyta, Magnoliopsida, Brassicales, Brassicaceae.